UAGUGCAAUCGGUUAGCACAACAGACCGGACAUCUGUAAAUGCGUGUUCGAAUCCCGU
This 58-nucleotide transfer RNA is filed under the name Dictyocaulus viviparus (bovine lungworm). The record is from Rfam by way of RNAcentral. Lineage: Eukaryota; Metazoa; Nematoda; Chromadorea; Rhabditida; Metastrongylidae.